GGCGCCUUGGCCGAGCGGUUAGGCACGGGACUGCAAAUCCCUGUAGGGCGGUUCGACUCCGCCAGGCGCCUCCA
Molecule: transfer RNA, 74 nt
Filed under: Coprothermobacter proteolyticus
Lineage: Bacteria; Pseudomonadati; Coprothermobacterota; Coprothermobacteria; Coprothermobacterales; Coprothermobacteraceae
Also listed under: 3 other names
Description: tRNA-Cys
Rfam family: tRNA
About the family: Transfer RNA (tRNA) molecules are approximately 80 nucleotides in length. Their secondary structure includes four short double-helical elements and three loops (D, anti-codon, and T loops).
Source: RNAcentral